RNAcentral lists this ribosomal RNA (221 nucleotides) under uncultured Staphylococcus sp. RNAcentral describes it as "partial 16S ribosomal RNA". It matches the Rfam family "Bacterial small subunit ribosomal RNA", at positions 119 to 334 of the family's 1533-position model. Lineage: Bacteria; Bacillati; Bacillota; Bacilli; Caryophanales; Staphylococcaceae. The record is from RNAcentral.
GGAUAACCUACCUAUAAGACUGGGUUAACUUCGGGAAACCGGAGCUAAUACCGGAUAAUAUAUUGAACCGCAUGGUUCAAUAGUGAAAGACGGUUUUGCUGUCACUUAUAGAUGGAUCCGCGCCGCAUUAGCUAGUUGGUAAGGUAACGGCUUACCAAGGCAACGAUGCGUAGCCGACCUGAGAGGGUGAUCGGCCACACUGGAACUGAGACACGGUCCAG